AUGGACUCUGGGGCGACAGAGCAUCUGACCAGCGAGAUGGGGAAGCUUCACACUCGUGAACCCUAUCAUGGCUCCGACAAGAUCCACACCGCCAAUGGAGCAGGUAUGCACAUCUCUCAUAUUGGUCAAGCAUCUCUUCUCACUAGACAUGCCAAUAGGAGUCUUCAGCUUCGCAAUGUUCUUCGCGUUCCAUCUGUGACUCGCAAUCUUCUUUCAGUUCCUAAACUCACACGUGAUAAUAAUGUGCUUUGUGAAUUUCAUCCUUUUGAUCUUUUUAUUAAGGAUCGGGGCACGAGGGACAUUCUUCUUAGUGGGCGGUUGUGCCAGGGCCUCUACCGUCUGGAGCAUCCUGGCGUCGCUCGCGUUUUCAGUGGAGUUCGGGUCUCUCCGUCACAGUGGCAUGCUCGUCUUGGUCACCCGGCCACACCUAUUGUCCGUCAUAUUUUGCGUCGUCAUGAGCUUCCUAGUUUGUCCAGUAAUAAAGAUGUAGCAGUGUGUGAUGCUUGUCAGCAGGGGAAGAGUCAUCAACUUCCUUUUUCAGAGUCCAGUCGUGAGGUGAAACAUCCGUUAGAACUUGUGUUUUCAGAUGUAUGGGGUCCUGCUCAGACUUCUGUCAGUGGUCAUAAUUACUAUAUCAGUUUCGUUGAUGCUUAUAGUCGCUUUACCUGGCUUUACCUUAUUAAACGCAAAUCUGAUGUGUUUGAUAUUUUUGUUCAGUUUCAAAAACAUGUUGAACGUCUUCUCAAGCACAAAAUUGUUCAUGUCCAGUCGGACUGGGGGGCGAGUAUCGCAACCUCAACUCCUUCUUUCAGUCGCUUGGGAUAG
This 825-nucleotide ribosomal RNA is filed under the name Triticum aestivum (bread wheat). Its description in RNAcentral is "partial small subunit ribosomal RNA". The record is from RNAcentral. Lineage: Eukaryota; Viridiplantae; Streptophyta; Magnoliopsida; Poales; Poaceae.